RNAcentral lists this long non-coding RNA (311 nucleotides) under Haliotis rufescens (red abalone). RNAcentral's name for it is "uncharacterized LOC125381043". The record is from RNAcentral. Lineage: Eukaryota; Metazoa; Mollusca; Gastropoda; Lepetellida; Haliotidae.
AUUUGUUGUCACCAGCCAUCUUAGUUCAAACUCAAUAUGGAUAUAUUACAACCAAGUGAUUGUGCAGCAACGGGAACUGGACAGAUGAUCUGUGAAUUCGGAUAAGCAAGGGGUAAAAUGUUACACGACCAUUCCAGGAGAUAAAAUCAAGAAUGUUGAAUCAUUGAGGAACACACCAAUUAAACCCUGGGCUGUGAAUUAUGUUAACGGAAGUGGAAGUGAACACCAAAGAAAGAAGAUUCUGGCAUUCAAUAAUUUCGAAAAGUGUAUACAUUUUCUAUAAUCUAAAAAUAAUAAAAUGUCAACGCAAA